GGCCGGAAGACCCGUCCCCACUUCCCAUUGCCCGCCGCUGCCUGCCCAGCCCUUGGUGAACACCGGAAUUCAGAGGCUCGGUGUGACACACCUGGAACCCCAGCACUUUCGAGACUGAGGCAGGAGGAUCACCGGUCUCAGUAUGCAAUUCAGGCUGGCCUCCAACUCCCAGUGAUCCUCCCGCCUCAGCCUCCAGAGUGCUAGGAUGACAGGUGAGGGCCACCACUCUGAGGGCUUUAUAAAAUGUUUUCAUGGUCUCCCUGAGUUGCCCGGGGUGGGUAGGGCUUCUGGUCAGAGCAGAGGCACCUGGCCAGAGAGGGGCAGGGACAGAAGCCCUUGUGCCUCAUGUCGCUGAUUGGUACUCUCUGCAUCGGUCUUUCAAAGGGACAGUGACCUAAUGGGUGAGCACUGCCGGGCCUCAGACCCCGGGGCCCUCGUGAGGGCAGGGGUGGAAGGACGCCUCUGUCUCCUGAGGAGUGGGAUGGGGGCAAAGGGGAAGGGUGUGGCCGGUCCCCAUGCCCAGGCUGCAGUCCUCUAGCAGGUCAGCGGCCUUGGGAGGUGCCCGCGGCUCCUCGAGCGUCUCUGGGGACACCAGCUCUGCCUGACUCCGUCUCAGAAGGGACUUCUUCCCCACUGUGCCUUCUGGCCCUCCUGUCCCCAGGUGCCCGCCUCCUCUGGGACACCUGAUGGGUGACUCUGCCACCCUAGGACACUGGACGAACCACCCUUCCAGAACCGGUUUGAAGCCAAACAAUGGUGCGGCGUGGGCCAGCAGAGCAGGAGGCUAUGGGAGCAGUGGUUUUGUGGCCAAGAGGGGCAAAGGCCCAGGCGCCGGGCAAUCAGCCUCUCCCAGCCUGGCAAGGGGCCCCGAGGCACCCUGGUCUUCCCAGAGGCCGGGGACAGUAGGGAUGCAAAGCCUCCUGAGAUGAGGGAGGUGACCCAGGUCAGGGGCAGAUGGGUCACCCACCUCCCUGCAAUGAGGAGAGGGAGGCAGCCAUCCCAGGAGGGACGCUCCCCAGGGAGCCAAAAAGCUCUGAGCCACUUACAGCCCCUAAAGUCUCCCCACUCCUCCCCGUAACUGUGCCUUCCCCUCCCCAAAUCCCAAGCCCCCUGCUAGAGCUCACAU
This is a non-coding RNA of Heterocephalus glaber (naked mole-rat), 1126 nucleotides long. Lineage: Eukaryota; Metazoa; Chordata; Mammalia; Rodentia; Bathyergidae. The record is from RefSeq and is a predicted model, not a curated record.